Molecule: ribosomal RNA, 924 nt
Filed under: uncultured bacterium
Lineage: Bacteria
Description: bacterial SSU rRNA
Rfam family: Bacterial small subunit ribosomal RNA
Source: RNAcentral
AGAGUUUGAUCCUGGCUCAGGAUGAACGCUGGCGGCGUGCCUAACACAUGCAAGUCGAACGGAGAAUAUACGCUUCAGAAGCCUCGGCAGAUGAUUGUAUAUUCUUAGUGGCGGACGGGUGAGUAACGCGUGGGCAACCUGCCUCAUACUGGGGGAUAACAGCUGGAAACGACUGUUAAUACCGCAUAAGCGCACAGUGUCGCAUGACACAGUGUGAAAAACUCCGGUGGUAUGAGAUGGGCCCGCGUCAGAUUAGCCAGUUGGCGGGGUAACGGCCCACCAAAGCGACGAUCUGUAGCCGGCCUGAGAGGGCGGACGGCCACAUUGGGACUGAGACACGGCCCAAACUCCUACGGGAGGCAGCAGUGGGGGAUAUUGCACAAUGGAGGAAACUCUGAUGCAGCGACGCCGCGUGAGUGAAGAAGUAUUUCGGUAUGUAAAGCUCUAUCAGCAGGGAAGAAAGGCUCGUAAGAGAGAUGACGGUACCUGACUAAGAAGCCCCGGCUAACUACGUGCCAGCAGCCGCGGUAAUACGUAGGGGGCAAGCGUUAUCCGGAUUUACUGGGUGUAAAGGGAGCGCAGACGGAUUUGCAAGUCUGAAGUGAAACCCCACGGCUCAACUGUGGGCUUGCUUUGGAAACUGUAGGUCUAGAGUACUGGAGAGGUAAGCGGAAUUCCUAGUGUAGCGGUGAAAUGCGUAGAUAUUAGGAGGAACAUCGGUGGCGAAGGCGGCUUACUGGACAGCAACUGACGUUGAGGCUCGAAGGCGUGGGGAGCAAACAGGAUUAGAUACCCUGGUAGUCCACGCGGUAAACGAUGAAUACUAGGUGUUGGGGACCAUAGGUCUUCAGUGCCGUCGCUAACGCAGUAAGUAUUCCACCUGGGGAGUACGUUCGCAAGAAUGAAACUCAAAGGAAUUGACGG